GUCGUGACUGCGUGCCUUUUGAAGAAUGAGCCUGCGAGUUUGCGGUAUGUUGCGAGGUUAACCCGUGUGGGGAAGCCGUAGCGAAAGCGAGUCCGAAUAGGGCGUUGAGUAGCGUGCCCAAGACCCGAAGCGGAGUGAUCUAGCCAUGGGCAGGUUGAAGCGGAGGUAAGACUUCGUGGAGGACCGAACCCACCAGGGUUGAAAACCUGGGGGAUGACCUGUGGUUAGGGGUGAAAGGCCAAUCAAACUCCGUGAUAGCUGGUUCUCCCCGAAAUGCAUUUAGGUGCAGCGUCGUGUGUUUCUUGCCGGAGGUAGAGCACUGGAUAGGCGAUGGGCCCUACCGGGUUACUGACCUUAGCCAAACUCCGAAUGCCGGUAAGUGAGAGCGCGGCAGUGAGACUGUGGGGGAUAAGCUCCAUGGUCGAGAGGGAAACAGCCCAGAGCAUCGACUAAGGCCCCUAAGCGUGUGCUAAGUGGGAAAGGAUGUGGAGUCGCAGAGACAACCAGGAGGUUGGCUUAGAAGCAGCCACCCUUGAAAGAGUGCGUAAUAGCUCACUGGUCAAGUGAUUCCGCGCCGACAAUGUAGCGGGGCUCAAGCACACCGCCGAAGUCGUGUCAUUGCGAUAUUACCCCCAACGGGGAUCGUGAUGGGUAGGGGAGCGUCGUGUGCCGGGUGAAGCAGCCGCGGAAGCGAGUUGUGGACGGUUCACGAGUGAGAAUGCAGGCAUGAGUAGCGAUACACACGUGGGAAACGUGUGCGCCGAUUGACUAAGGGUUCCUGGGUCAAGCUGAUCUGCCCAGGGUAAGUCGGGACCUAAGGCGAGGCCGACAGGCGUAGUCGAUGGACAACCGGUUGAUAUUCCGGUACCCGCUUUGAAACGCCCAGUAUCGAAUCCAUUAAUGCUAAGGCCGUGAAGCCGGCCUGGAGUCUUCGGACAAAGGGACGUGGUGGAGCCGCCGAUCCAAGGUGGUAGUAGGUAAGCGAUGGGGUGACGCAGGAAGGUAGUCCAGCCCGGGCGGUGGUUGUCCCGGGGUAAGGGUGUAGGCCGUGUGGUAGGUAAAUCCGUCACACGUUAAGGCUGAGACCUGAUGCCGAGCCGAUUGUGGUGAAGUGGAUGAUCCUAUGCUGUCGAGAAAAGCCUCUAGCGAGUUUCAUGGCGGCCCGUACCCUAAACCGACUCAGGUGGUCAGGUAGAGAAUACCGAGGCGUUCGGGUGAACUAUGGUUAAGGAACUCGGCAAAAUGCCCCCGUAACUUCGGGAGAAGGGGGGCCAUUUCCGGUGAUGAGACUUGCUCUCUGAGCUGGGGGUGGCCGCAGAGACCAGCGAGAAGCGACUGUUUACUAAAAACACAGGUCCGUGCGAAGCCGUAAGGCGAUGUAUACGGACUGACGCCUGCCCGGUGCUGGAACGUUAAGGGGACCGGUUAGUCAUGAUUCGUCAUGGCGAAGCUGAGAACUUAAGCGCCAGUAAACGGCGGUGGUAACUAUAACCAUCCUAAGGUAGCGAAAUUCCUUGUCGGGUAAGUUCCGACCUGCACGAAUGGCGUAACGACUUCUCGACUGUCUCAACCAUAGGCCCGGUGAAAUUGCAUUACGAGUAAAGAUGCUCGUUUCGCGCAGCAGGACGGAAAGACCCCGGGACCUUUACUAUAGCUUGAUAUUGGUGUUCGGUUCGGCUUGUGUAGGAUAGGUGGGAGACUGUGAAGCGGCCACGCCAGUGGUUGUGGAGUCAUUGUUGAAAUACCACUCUGGUCGUGCUGGAUGUCUAACCUGGGUCCGUGAUCCGGAUCAGGGACAGUGUCUGGUGGGUAGUUUAACUGGGGCGGUUGCCUCCUAAAGAGUAACGGAGGCGCCCAAAGGUUCCCUCAGCCUGGUUGGCAAUCAGGUGUUGAGUGUAAGUGCACAAGGGAGCUUGACUGUGAGACUGACGGGUCGAGCAGGUACGAAAGUAGGGACUAGUGAUCCGGCGGUGGCUUGUGGAAGCGCCGUCGCUCAACGGAUAAAAGGUACCCCGGGGAUAACAGGCUGAUCUUCCCCAAGAGUCCAUAUCGACGGGAUGGUUUGGCACCUCGAUGUCGGCUCGUCGCAUCCUGGGGCUGGAGUCGGUCCCAAGGGUUGGGCUGUUCGCCCAUUAAAGCGGUACGCGAGCUGGGUUUAGAACGUCGUGAGACAGUUCGGUCCCUAUCCGCUGUGCGCGUAGGAGUCUUGAGAAGGGCUGUCCCUAGUACGAGAGGACCGGGACGGACGAACCUCUGGUGUGCCAGUUGUCCUGCCAAGGGCAUGGCUGGUUGGCUACGUUCGGAAAGGAUAACCGCUGAAAGCAUCUAAGCGGGAAGCCUGCUUCGAGAUGAGGACUCCCACCCCCUUGA
Molecule: ribosomal RNA, 2370 nt
Filed under: Streptomyces auratus AGR0001
Lineage: Bacteria; Bacillati; Actinomycetota; Actinomycetes; Kitasatosporales; Streptomycetaceae
Description: bacterial LSU rRNA
Rfam family: Bacterial large subunit ribosomal RNA
Source: RNAcentral